UUGACCUCGGAUCAGGUAGGAAUACCCGCUGAACUUAAGCAUAUCAAUAAGCGGAGGAAAAGAAACCAACAGGGAUUGCCCUAGUAACGGCGAGUGAAGCGGCAACAGCUCAAAUUUGAAAUCUGGCUUUCGGGCCCGAGUUGUAAUUUGUAGAGGAUGACUUUGAUGCGGUGCCUUCCGAGUUCCCUGGAACGGGACGCCAUAGAGGGUGAGAGCCCCGUCUGGUUGGA
Molecule: ribosomal RNA, 230 nt
Filed under: Fusarium venenatum
Lineage: Eukaryota; Fungi; Ascomycota; Sordariomycetes; Hypocreales; Nectriaceae
Description: partial 28S ribosomal RNA
Rfam family: Eukaryotic large subunit ribosomal RNA
Source: RNAcentral